This 661-nucleotide ribosomal RNA is filed under the name uncultured Geobacter sp. Its description in RNAcentral is "bacterial SSU rRNA". It matches the Rfam family "Bacterial small subunit ribosomal RNA", at positions 28 to 691 of the family's 1533-position model. The record is from RNAcentral. Lineage: Bacteria; Pseudomonadati; Thermodesulfobacteriota; Desulfuromonadia; Geobacterales; Geobacteraceae.
AACGAACGCUGGCGGNAGGCCUAACACAUGCAAGUCGAACGCGAAAGUUUCCUUCGGGAAGCGAGUAGAGUGGCGCACGGGUGAGUAACACGUGGAUAACCUGCCCUAGAGUCUGGGAUAACAUUCCGAAAGGGGUGCUAAUACCGGAUAAGCCCACGACGUCCCUGGACGAUGUGGGAAAAGAUUUAUUGCUCUAGGAUGGGUCCGCGGCCCAUUAGCUAGUUGGUAGGGUAAUGGCCUACCAAGGCGACGAUGGGUUGCUGGUCUGAGGGGAUGAUCAGCCACACUGGAACUGAGACACGGUCCAGACUCCUACGGGAGGCAGCAGUGGGGAAUUUUGCGCAAUGGACGAAAGUCUGACGCAGCAACGCCGCGUGAAGGAUGAAGGCCCUUGGGUCGUAAACUUCUGUCAGAGGGGAAGAAAUACUCGCAAGAGAGCUGACGGUACCCUCAAAGGAAGCACCGGCUAACUCCGUGCCAGCAGCCGCGGUAAUACGGAGGGUGCAAGCGUUGUUCGGAAUUAUUGGGCGUAAAGCGCAUGUAGGCGGAUUUUUAAGUCUGAUGUGAAAUCCCAGGGCUCAACCCUGGAACUGCAUUGGAUACUGGGAAUCUUGAGUAUGGGAGAGGAAAGCGGAAUUCCGAGUGUAGGAGUGAAAUCCGU